This 1012-nucleotide long non-coding RNA is filed under the name Citrus x clementina. RNAcentral's name for it is "Citrus clementina (C. clementina) long non-coding RNA (CCLE_LNC001175)". The record is from RNAcentral. Lineage: Eukaryota; Viridiplantae; Streptophyta; Magnoliopsida; Sapindales; Rutaceae.
GAGCUUCUAUUUCUGGCCAGUCUGAAACCAAACAAAAGUAUUAGUAUCAAAUACGAAGAGUAUUAAAAUAAUAUACAAUUCCAUUAAUAAAUUACAUAUAUAAUUUAAAAACUCACUGGCGGCCUCUUAAUGUCGCGUCGCCGAAUGCAGAAAGUACUGCUACGCUGGCAAAUCACAUGCUAUCGGAUUUAAAAUUUCCGACCAUUCAAUGAUGGUCCAUUUAUCGGAAAACUAUGCUAUAUGACGGUGAAAAUACCACGCAAAGGGUGGCAGGAUCAUAACAUCGCCAUUUAAGAGUUACUGCGUGGGGUGCCCCACCACAAACUCAUCAAUCUCAGCGGCUGUCGACGACAAGAAAUCAGGUGGCGGUGCACCUAAAUGAGCCGCCAUUAUUCGGUGGAGUUAUAAUGCCGCCGCUUCUUUUGGUGGUUCUGCGAGACCAAACGACCAUCAGUGUUGACAAAAUUUGAUCGGUUCCGUAGGUCAUUAAAAUCUGAAUAUUUCGGUAUCAGAGUUGUCACCAAAUAUUUUGAACUCGCCGGCGACGGCGACGAAAUAGUGAAUUCUGAUUUGUUAUUUUUAAGUUAUUAAUAAAUUUAAUUUUAUAUUGUUCAUUUAUUAUUUAUUUUAUUAUAUUAACAGCAUUGAAAGAUUACAUCAAACUAUCAAAGUAACAUUAUCACGGCAGCUGCUAAGUUAUAACUAUAUAGUAGUUAUCCAAUAUGAAGAAAUAGUAGUAUAUACUUUGUAGUAGCAUGUGAAAUAAACAGAAAGUCAUGGAUAAUUAUCUAUAAUCAUGUGUUGUAAUUAGUAAAUUUAUUACAUUAAUUAGCAUUACUAAUAUUUUUAUUUUUUUUUAACUUUCUAUUUAUAUUUUAUAAUGGUUAUUAAUUACAGUAACUCCAUUUUUAUUUUUGUUCAUAUAUAUAAAUGUGUGUGUUUGUACUUUUAUGAUUAACUUAUCAAACAUAUACGGUAGAUUAUUUGACAAGUGAUCAUAUAAUAAUCUAAA